UACGUAGGGUGCAAGCGUUGUCCGGAAUUAUUGGGCGUAAAGGGCUCGUAGGCGGCCAACUAAGUCAGACGUGAAAUCCCUCGGCUUAACCGGGGAACUGCGUCUGAUACUGGAUGGCUUGAGUGUAGGAGAGGGAUGCGGAAUUCCAGGUGUAGCGGUGAAAUGCGUAGAUAUCUGGAGGAACACCGGUGGCGAAGGCGGCAUCCUGGACUACUACUGACGCUGAGUGAGCGAAAGCCAGGGGAGCAAACGGG
RNAcentral lists this ribosomal RNA (254 nucleotides) under uncultured bacterium. RNAcentral describes it as "partial 16S ribosomal RNA". It matches the Rfam family "Bacterial small subunit ribosomal RNA", at positions 524 to 776 of the family's 1533-position model. The record is from RNAcentral.